This 343-nucleotide long non-coding RNA is filed under the name Anas platyrhynchos platyrhynchos (common mallard). Its description in RNAcentral is "lncRNA (ENSAPLG00000018256.1)". The record is from RNAcentral. Lineage: Eukaryota; Metazoa; Chordata; Aves; Anseriformes; Anatidae.
CAGGUAACCUGGCAAGAACUGUACAGAGCAUGGAUCCUGGACCAGAUUUUCAUCCUGGAAGUGGCUAGUGUGAACUGAAUUUAUUGGUGCCUCAGUACAGAGGAUGUAUUAUAGGCCCUGCUAACGUUCCAUCUACCUUCUGGAAAGUGCUUGGGAGCUACAAACAGAAGUACUAUAAUGAACAACAUUGUGUUCCAAUUCCUUCUUAAAUCCAUGCUUUCUGACAUAUUCUUGCAAUGAAUUCCAAAGGUAUAGUCUGAUGCCCAGAAAUAUAAUUGCUAAUACAUAAAGCUGUAGACCACCACAACAACUUUUGCUCCAUGUGCAAAUUAAUAGCAAAACA